GCCCCCAUGCCUUAUUCUCCUUCGCAAAUGCCAAUGCCUCAUUUAAAACUUCACUAGCCAAACCAUCCUUGGAAGACCCAAAAUAACUCUUCAAAUCAGUGACCCGAAUUUUUAACAAAUCCCUCNNNNNNNNNNUUCCAUGCUCAUUGAGUUCCAAUAUGACCGCACCCAAUCCCUCCUCUGCUUGUUAGUACCGUUCUUCCUCACAUUAAUCCCAUACUUCCUCCUAUCCCCUCUC
This 238-nucleotide unclassified non-coding RNA is filed under the name Hevea brasiliensis (rubber tree). The record is from RNAcentral. Lineage: Eukaryota; Viridiplantae; Streptophyta; Magnoliopsida; Malpighiales; Euphorbiaceae.